RNAcentral lists this ribosomal RNA (253 nucleotides) under uncultured bacterium. RNAcentral's name for it is "partial 16S ribosomal RNA". It matches the Rfam family "Bacterial small subunit ribosomal RNA", at positions 524 to 776 of the family's 1533-position model. The record is from RNAcentral.
UACGUAGGGUCCGAGCGUUGUCCGGAAUUACUGGGCGUAAAGAGCUCGUAGGUGGUUCGUCACGUUGUUCGUGAAAACUCACAGCUUAACUGUGGGCGUGCGGGCGAUACGGGCAGACUAGAGUACUGCAGGGGAGACUGGAAUUCCUGGUGUAGCGGUGGAAUGCGCAGAUAUCAGGAGGAACACCGGUGGCGAAGGCGGGUCUCUGGGCAGUAACUGACGCUGAGGAGCGAAAGCGUGGGGAGCGAACAGG